AGAUUUGAAACUUACCUGAAAUGUUAAAAAAGAAAUUAUUGAUUAUGAAGCUGGCAAUACGUGGUAUAGCAAAUGGAAGAGCCCUUAAGAGGAUUUUACAUGCCCAUUGAUUUGGUUUAUAUAUAGCCGACCUUUUCUCAAUGCAUGUACAUAGAGAACCCCACAAAUUCUCAAAUUAAAAUAUUUAGAAAAUCAUUGAUACGAUUUUACAUAUAUAUGCAUUUUGUUAUGGCCUAUAUAAAUCAUACAAUUUUUGACUUCAAAUCUAUGCUUGCAGCACAUUUGGUAUAUCUACCUUAAAUCAUUGUUGCUAAAGAAAUGGCAAAAUUGGGGUUCUAUGUGAUCCUUACGUUGGUGUUGGUGUUGGUGUCAUUUUCAUGCUGUGAGUCUCGUCCACUUGGUACUACUCAAUAUGGUUCUAUGAACAAUUUAGCAAAAGAUUCAGGUUUAGGUGUUGAGCAUGUUAUGCGAGCAUGGUUAUCAUCAAUGUCUAAGGAAAAACCACGUAGAACGAGUCGACUUAGUCCUGGUGGGCCAGAUCCAAGGCACCAUUGAUCACUAUUUAGUAAUCUUUAGAGGCAAUUUAGACUCGUAAGUUAGGAGAGGGGAAUUGGGGAAUUAAAUCUCCAUUCCCAUUUAUAUGUACUUUUUGUUACUCUAGUCUAAGUUUGUACUUGGAUUUGUGGUGGUUAAUAAAAUUUGCUUUGCUUCUAAAAAAAAUGAUUUGCUUAUUCGAAACAAUAGCUAGUUUUUAAAUUAUAUGAAGGGUUUUUCUAUCAUGUGCAAAUUCGCAUAUGUUAAGAAAUUUAAAAUAGAAAUUUUGUAUUGAAACUUGUACAUUUAAUAUUAAAUAUAAAACUUUUAAAUAAUUUAGUGUUGUUUCCCAAGAAAUAGUUUGGUGGAUACUCCAUCCACCAAUUCUACAUUUCGGUUAGAUUCCAUAUACCUAUGAUUUCUCGUUAUUUGUUUCUUGAAAAUAAUAAAUGUUUAAUAGCAGUUUUAGCCUCCUAACUUUUUCAAAGUUGUCAUUUUGGCC
RNAcentral lists this long non-coding RNA (1036 nucleotides) under Medicago truncatula (barrel medic). Its description in RNAcentral is "long non-coding RNA (MTRU_LNC008041)". The record is from RNAcentral. Lineage: Eukaryota; Viridiplantae; Streptophyta; Magnoliopsida; Fabales; Fabaceae.